This 556-nucleotide ribosomal RNA is filed under the name uncultured bacterium. RNAcentral's name for it is "bacterial SSU rRNA". It matches the Rfam family "Bacterial small subunit ribosomal RNA", at positions 365 to 917 of the family's 1533-position model. The record is from RNAcentral.
UUCGAAUGGGCAAAGCCUGACGGAGCGACGCCGCGUGGAGGAUGAAGGCCUUCGGGUUGUAAACUCCUUUUCCUGGGGAAGAAUAAGGCCGGUAGUAACUGACCGGUCGAUGACGGUACCCAGGGAAUAAGCCCCGGCUAAUUACGUGCCAGCAGCCGCGGUAAUACGUAUGGGGCGAGCGUUGUUCGAAUUUACUGGGCGUAAAGGGCUUGUAGGUGGUGAGAUAAGUCGGAUGUGAAAUCCCCGGGCUUAACCCGGGAACUGCAUUCGAAACUAUCUUGCUAGAGUACCGGAGAGGGAAACGGAAUUCCUGGUGUAGGGGUGAAAUCUGUAGAUAUCAGGAAGAACACCGGUGGCGAAGGCGGUUUCCUGGCCGGAUACUGACACUGAGGAGCGAAAGCUAGGGGAGCAAACAGGAUUAGAUACCCUGGUAGUCCUAGCUGUAAACGUUGUGCACUAGGUGUAAGUGGUUUCCCCACUUGUGCCGCAGCUAACGCAUUAAGUGCACCGCCUGGGGAGUAUGCUCGCAAGGGUGAAACUCAAAAAAAUUGACGGA